AUUUAAUCAAUUAAAUUUGAUUUUGGUUUAUCAUGAUUGGUUUUUUGAUAAUUUUAUAUACAAGUUUUUGCGUGUUUUAAGUUUAAUCUUAAAGAUUUUAUUUUUAUUUAUUUGUAGUUUUUAAAUUUGGUUAUUUUUAAUAAAUAAUUUUAUUUCCAGUUAAUUUAUUUUAGAGUUGUAAAAUUUUGUGCCAGCAUACGCGGUUAUACUUUUAACUCACAUCAAUUCUUUUGGUUUUAUAUUUAUAAAUUAUUUAUUUUGGGAUUUUUUUUAUUUUAUUAGGUGGAAUUUUUAAUUUAUUUUAUAUUCCCUUGGUUCUAGAUUAUGAGAAAUUUUGUUUUUAAACUAGGAUUAGAUACCCUAUUAUUCUUAAAUUUAAAAUUUUAACCAUGUUAUUACUAGUUAUGUUCUUUAAAUUAAAAAAAUUUGGCGGUAAUUUAGUCUUUUCAGAGGAACCUGUUCUUUAAUCGAUAAUCCACGAUGGAUUUUACUUAAUUUUUUGUUUUUAUAUCUCUGUCAUUGAAUGUUUUAUUAGAAUUAUUUUCUUUAAUUAUAAAUUUAUAUAAUGUCAGGUCAAGGUGAAGCUUAUAAUUAAGGUUGAAAUGGGUUACAUUUAAUUUUAUUUAUUGGAUUAAUUUGUUGAAAUACAAUUAUUAAAUUGGAUUUGAAAGUAAUAUUUAUUAUUUUAUAAUUAUGAUUUUAGCUCUAUGUUAUGUACACAUCGCCCGUCGCUCUCAUUUCAAGAUGAGAUAAGUCGUAACAAAGUAAUUUUACUGGAAAGUGAGGUUGGAAUUAUA
This 797-nucleotide non-coding RNA is filed under the name Cnemomis nodulosa. The record is from RNAcentral. Lineage: Eukaryota; Metazoa; Arthropoda; Insecta; Hemiptera; Coreidae.